This is an RNA transcript of Lycium ferocissimum, 3585 nucleotides long. It is a transcript of the gene named pentatricopeptide repeat-containing protein At4g02750-like, with no coding region annotated. The record is from RefSeq and is a predicted model, not a curated record. NCBI's taxonomy places the organism in Eukaryota, Viridiplantae, Streptophyta, Magnoliopsida, Solanales, Solanaceae. The transcript has 3 exons.
CCGUACAUAUAGUUGAAUGGCAGGUUUAAGUAGAGGAAGCACAAUUAUCCAGCAAAAUCUGAAGAUAACUCAGUUAGGUAAAAGGGGACAAAUUGAUGAAGCUAUCAAAUUGUUCAACAGGAUCACACACCCUAAUACCGUCACUUACAAUUCUAUGAUUUCUGCUUAUGCCAAGAAUGGUAGAAUCAUCAAUGCACGCAACCUGUUCGACAAAAUGCACUUCAAAAAUUUAAUCUCCUGGAAUACAAUGAUCAAUGGGUAUUUGUUUAAUGGCCAAGUUGAUAAAGCGUGUGAACUGUUCGAUAAAAUGCCUCAGAGAGACCAUUUUACUUAUGCAUUGAUGAUAACUUGUUAUUCGCGUAGUGGGGAGCUUGAAAAGGCUAGAAAUAUGUUUGAGUUACUUCCUGAUAAAAGUAAUGUAGCUUGUUGGAACGCGAUGAUUACAGGGUAUGCAAAAGCUGGAAGGUUAGACGAUGCGAGGAGAAUGUUUGAUGGCAUGCCAAGAAAGAAUUUAGUUUCAUGGAACUCGAUGCUUUCAGGAUAUACCAAGAAUGGGGAAAUGCAAUUUGGAUUGAAAUUUUUUGAGGAUAUGGAAGAGAAGGACGUCGUUUCUUGGAAUUUAUUAGUGGACGGGUUUAUUGAGGUUGGGGAUUUGGAUUCUGCUAAAGUAGUUUUUGCUAAGAUUCCAAAUCCAAAUGUUGUUUCUUGGGUGACAAUGCUGAGUGGAUUUGCAAGAUAUGGGAUGAUAUUGGACGCUGAAAUGAUUUUUGACCAAAUGCCGGAGAAAAAUGAGGUUGCUUGGAAUGCCAUGUUAGCUGCAUAUGUCCAGAAUGGCAAAAUUGAUAUGGCUGCUUCAUUAUUUAAUAGAAUGUCUCAGAGGAGCGCCGUGGCUUACACAACCAUGAUUGAUGGUUAUUUUCGUGCUGGAAAGCUCGAAGAAGCAAGGGAUUUGUUGGAUCAAAUGCCAUACAAAAAUGUUAGUGCACGAACAGCGAUGAUUUCAGGGUACAUCCAAAAUAAUAGGGUGGAUGAAGCUCGUCGGGUAUUUGAUCAAACAACUAUUCGUGAUGUUGUUUGUUGGAAUACAAUGAUUGCAGGCUACGCUCAAUGUGGGCGGAUUGAUGAAGCUUUUGAUCUGUUUGAAAAGAUGGAACCUAAGAGCAUAGUUGUUUGGAAUACCAUGAUAGCAGGUUAUGCUCAAGUGGGACAAAUGGAGAAAGCACUUGAGAUAGUUGAGAAUAUGGGAGAAAGGAAUGUAAUUUCUUGGAAUUCUCUAAUUUCAGGUUAUACCCAAAAUGGUUUUUAUGUAGAUGCACUUAAAUAUUUUAUGAUGAUGAUACGUGAUGGCAAGAAACCCGAUCGUUCUACUUUUGCUUCAGCAUUAAGUUCCUGUUCCAAUCUUGCAGCUGAACGUUUAGGUAAGCAACUUCACCAAGCGGUUAUAAAAACUGGUUAUGUGAAAAACUUAUCAGUUUGUAACGCUUUAGUCAUUAUGUAUGCAAAGUGUGGAAAGAUCUUUGAUGCAGAAAAGAUGUUUGGAGAUAUUGACAAUGCUGAUGUUAUAUCCUGGAAUUCUUUGCUUUCUGGAUAUGCUUUAAAUGGAUGUGGGAAGGAGGCUGUCAAACUUUUUCAAGAGAUGGAAGAUAUAGAAGUCGUUCCUGAUGAAGUCACAUUUGUUAGUGUUUUAUCUGCAUGUAAGCACGCUGGCUUGAGUGAUACUGGUGCAAAUUUGUUUGAGCACAUGACCAAAAAGUAUUCUAUCACUCCUUCAUCGGAACAUUAUGCUUGCAUGGUUGACUUACUUGGGCGAGCGGGGAGGUUAGAAGAAGCUCUCCUUUUAAUAAAGGAAAUGAAAACAAAUGUUACGGCAGAAAUGUGGGGUGCCCUAUUUGGGGCUUGUCGCUUGCAUAACAAUAUAAAGAUCGCUGGCUGUGCUGUUGAGAAGCUUCUUGAACUUGAACCUCAUACAUCUACAAAUCUGGUUGUCUUAUCAAACAUGUAUGCUGAACUAGGAAGAUGGGGUGAUGUGGAGAGAGUUAGGGAAACAAUAAAAAAGGGUGGAGCAGGCAGACUACCAGGAUGCAGCUGGCUUGAGGAUAGGAAUCAGUUGCUUGUUUUUCUUUGUGGUGAUGAUACUUCAGCGCAGGCAGUGGAGAACUUUAAUGUUUUAUUCACUUUAACUGCACAAAUGAUGGAUAUGGGCCAUGGCUGCAAGGUGGCUUUGCAUGACUCUAUGGCAGAUGCGAAAAUCACUCCAAUGUCUGGAAAUACUUUGCAUCUGCAACAGAAGGCAUGCAGAGCUGGAAUGGAAUUCUGCAAGAUAUAACCAGAAGAGUGAAGCGAAAACUUGCUUAUGAGGUAACUGCUGUUGUCUAGAUAUAAGGUUAGUGCAGAUCUCCACAGUGAUUAUAUGAUAAAGCAGCUGAUAACCGUGAAGGCGUGAACGGUGCAUUGGUGUUUCCAGGUAGGUGAAUCCAAGUUCGCCCUUACAUAACGUGCAUAUAAUAAUACUUGUAGUAUCUAAUGUCUUAUCAUCAGUCUUUUUCUUCUAUCCUUGUAGUAUCUUCUAUCUUUUUAUCAUCUAUUUUUUUCCUGAUCUUGGAGAACAUUUAAAUUGCACAUAAAAAAAGUUUUACCGUCUCUCUUCUUAAACUUCUAUAACAGUUCAUGCAUUGUAGGGCUAUACCAACAUAAUGGACCUUGUUCUGUUGAAGGAAUUUCUGAUUUUGACUGGUUCUUCUGGUCUGUAUCUAUGUGGAUAAUCAUCUAUGUACAAGGAUGUGCACUGUUGUAACUUCAAUUUCUAGAGUUUGGUAACUUUUCAAUUAAAGUAGAUAGAUAAUACUAAUCUUUUCACAUUGAAUGUGCAAUCAUCUUAGUUCCUCGAAACUAAGACAAUCAAAUGUGGUGUUUUAAUUGAUCGCUUUCUUCUUUAUCCCUGUUUUGCAUUCACUUUUCUAUUCACAAUAUAUAUUCAAGUUUCAUCUGAUAUGUUUUAACAAAGGUAGUGGUGUGUGUCCAAGCCGCAGAUAAUGACCGGAAAGUUGCAAGGAAGUUUCUUCUAAAUGACUCCCGAUCUCAGGUUGCAGUCUUUCUAGAAGGUCCAUGUCCAGUCAUGGAUAUCCUCCUUAAUGGUUUAGUCAUAAAGCAUGCAUCUAAAGCUCCUCCUCCACCAGUAAUUGAGGAUGAUGAUUUUGGUGUUAAUAUAUGAAUGACGGAACAAAUGGCUGGUUCCCCACUUGGAAGUGUACAAUGAACGUUCAAGGGACUGAGGGAGCAAUAAGAUGGGAUCUGCAAUUAUAUACAUAAUUGUUGAAAUGUGUUUGAUUUCUUUUAAACUUUUGUACGAGCUUGCUGGGCAUUUUCAGCAUGUGCAGCCAUGGAGGGAAUAAAUGUGAUAGUCACCGGUGAAGUUAUUAGUCCUUCUGCACAAGAACUUACUUAUUGAUUGUGAUAAUUCAAACAAUAAUGGCUGUGAAGGUGGACUUAAGAACCUUGCUUUUGAAUGGGUGAUCAACAAUGGCGGCAGUGGUUCAGCAGCUGAUUAUCCGUACACUGCCUCUCAAGGCACACUUGCAAUUACAA